RNAcentral lists this ribosomal RNA (26 nucleotides) under Waitea circinata. RNAcentral describes it as "partial 28S ribosomal RNA". The record is from RNAcentral. Lineage: Eukaryota; Fungi; Basidiomycota; Agaricomycetes; Corticiales; Corticiaceae.
GCAUAUCAAUAAGCGGAGGAAAGCCC